GUAGAUAUAGUUUAAAUAAAACACUAAACUGUGAACUUAGCUAUAAGGGCUCGAAACCCCUUAUCUACC
RNAcentral lists this transfer RNA (69 nucleotides) under Lepilemur mustelinus (weasel lemur). RNAcentral's name for it is "tRNA-His". It matches the Rfam family "tRNA". Rfam says of the family: Transfer RNA (tRNA) molecules are approximately 80 nucleotides in length. Their secondary structure includes four short double-helical elements and three loops (D, anti-codon, and T loops). Further hydrogen bonds mediate the characteristic L-shaped molecular structure. tRNAs have two regions of fundamental functional importance: the anti-codon, which is responsible for specific mRNA codon recognition, and the 3' end, to which the tRNAs corresponding amino acid is attached (by aminoacyl-tRNA synthetases). tRNAs cope with the degeneracy of the genetic code in two manners: having more than one tRNA (with a specific anti-codon) for a particular amino acid; and 'wobble' base-pairing, i.e. permitting non-standard base-pairing at the 3rd anti-codon position. Lineage: Eukaryota; Metazoa; Chordata; Mammalia; Primates; Lepilemuridae. The record is from RNAcentral. RNAcentral also lists the same sequence under 1 other name.